GAUGAAGAACGUAGCGAAAUGCGAUAAGUAAUGUGAAUUGCAGAAUUCAGUGAAUCAUCGAAUCUUUGAACGCACCUUGCGCUCCCUGGUAUUCCGGGGAGCACGCCUGUUCGAGUGUCGCGAAAUUCUUCAAGCCUUGGAUGGAUUUUUUUUUGUCUGUCCUUGGGCUUGGUUGUUGGGCUCUGCCGUGUCCUUCAUUGGGACGGCUGGCCUUAAAAGCAUUAGCCGAUCCUCGUGUGGUACUGGUACUACUCAGCGUGAUAACAAUCUGAUCGUUGAGGACAUCUUCUGGAUGGCCAGUCAUCAUUUGGGUUGCUUCUAAACCGGUUUCGCAGAUUGCUCAAUCUGUGUGCCACUUUUCAGCUUUGACCUCGAAUCAGGUGGGACUACCCGCUGAACUUAAGCAUAUCAAUAAGCGGAGGA
Molecule: unclassified non-coding RNA, 423 nt
Filed under: soil metagenome
Description: partial contains 5.8S ribosomal RNA, internal transcribed spacer 2, and large subunit ribosomal RNA
Rfam family: 5.8S ribosomal RNA (bases 1-120)
Source: RNAcentral